GGCAACACCAUUAACAGCACUUUUUCUUUGAGACAGUUGGACUUUAUCAUUGAAAGGUUAGCCGGGGUUGGGGUGUACAGUGGGUGAGCAGGAAACACCACCACUCUUUAAAAACCUGCUGCUUCUUCAGGAUCGUAAAUUGGUCUGUGCCCUGAUUAUAAAAUGAAGCCCUUGUUUCUGGAGGAUAAGCCACCUCAGUGGGCCCCCAGGAGAGGUAGAAACUUUGGCAGAGUAUGGUCUGAGGACUUCUUCAUCUGAAGGCAGGACACUGCAGUGUGAGAGGCGGCUUCACACAGACGACAGAGAAUAUUGGCUGACUUGUUCACAGACUCCAUACUUGUAAUUGGACAGCAUAUUUCUUCUCAUUUAGAAAUAGCAGAGCAGAUGGCAGUCCAACAUAAAAAGAAGGAUAUGUCACCAUCUCCAACAGUGGCACAUGGACAAGAGAUCGCAGUGUCUGGGAACCACAUGGCUACUGUGGAAGCAUCACUGUCCAAUAGAACUUUCCAGGCGUCUCCCCGCUGACAACAUUGCCCAAUUUUGAAUCCCGACAUCUUCAUUUCAGAAGUCUGAAAAUGAAACUGCAAAGGUCAGGUUUCAUUGUAAUUACAGGCUAUGGUGAAAAAAGACCACGUUCCUUAGGAUUGAGCUGCCACCCACUGCUUGCUUUGGAGAGCGCAGGGCUUGGGGAAAAUGUCAUUGUGCAAUUCAAGUGAAUGAUUGUACCUGGCACUUGGAUCAUCAUGAAAUAUUUGGCCAUAUUUCACAGUGUCUGACUUCGUCAACACAUGAGGAAGGAAAGACUUUAAAGAGGACUCUGAUUUAGCAUACAUGAACACAGCAUACUUCCAACUUCUGGAAUGUCCUUUUCUCCUUUAUGUAAUGAAUGGCUCUCAACCUUCAGAUCUUAUCUCA
Molecule: long non-coding RNA, 915 nt
Filed under: Callithrix jacchus (white-tufted-ear marmoset)
Lineage: Eukaryota; Metazoa; Chordata; Mammalia; Primates; Cebidae
Description: lncRNA (ENSCJAG00000071767.1)
Source: RNAcentral